AGGAGGAUAGUUUAAUUGGUAGAAUGAUGGUCUCCAAAACCAGUGGUUGUGGGUUCAAGUCCCUCUCUUCCUG
Molecule: transfer RNA, 73 nt
Filed under: Monodopsis sp. MarTras21
Lineage: Eukaryota; Eustigmatophyceae; Eustigmatales; Monodopsidaceae
Also listed under: 1 other name
Description: tRNA-Trp
Rfam family: tRNA
About the family: Transfer RNA (tRNA) molecules are approximately 80 nucleotides in length. Their secondary structure includes four short double-helical elements and three loops (D, anti-codon, and T loops).
Source: RNAcentral